RNAcentral lists this ribosomal RNA (446 nucleotides) under uncultured bacterium. RNAcentral's name for it is "SSU rRNA". It matches the Rfam family "Bacterial small subunit ribosomal RNA", at positions 26 to 518 of the family's 1533-position model. The record is from RNAcentral.
AGAGCGAACGCUGGCGGCAGGCCUAAAACAUGCAAGUCGAACGGAUCCUUCGGGAUGAGUGGCGGACGGGUGAGUAACACGUGGGAACGUGCCUUUUGGUUCGGAACAACUCAGGGAAACUUGAGCUAAUACCGAAUGUGCCCUUUUAGGGGAAAGAUUUAUCGCCAUUAGAGCGGCCCGCGUCUGAUUAGCUAGUUGGUGGGGUAAAGGCUCACCAAGGCGACGAUCAGUAGCUGGUCUGAGAGGAUGAUCAGCCACACUGGGACUGAGACACGGCCCAGACUCCUACGGGAGGCAGCAGUUAGGAAUCUUGCGCAAUGGGCGAAAGCCUGACGCAGCCAUGCCGCGUGAAUGAUGAAGGUCUUAGGAUUGUAAAAUUCUUUCAGCGGGGACGAUAAUGACGGUACCCGCAGAAGAGCUCCGGCUAACUUCGUGCCAGCAGCCGC